Molecule: long non-coding RNA, 997 nt
Filed under: Olea europaea subsp. europaea
Lineage: Eukaryota; Viridiplantae; Streptophyta; Magnoliopsida; Lamiales; Oleaceae
Source: RNAcentral
ACCAGAAUAAACUAUUAAAUAAAAGAAGUAGGUUGCCAAAAAUUUGGCUCAAUUCGAGUUUUCUAACAUAUGGAAAAAGGGAAACGAAAUAUUACCAUAAAUAGCAAAAAAUAACUUAAAAUUGAAUAUUGGAAAGGAAAACAGCGGAUCUUGGGCAAAUUGAUGCCCAACCUCGGUAGUCACGACGUGCGCGCCGAAGAGAGCUUUCCGGAUUGGGGUCAUAAUAGCGAUUCCGAUAACCGUAGCCAAAGUUAUGGCCAAAUUACCAAAGACGCAUCAAAUUCCCCCAAUUAAGGAAAUAAUUGCGAUUCACAUUCCAUCUUUGCCCCGAUCUGCCAUCUCAUGGUAUCUCAGCACCAUCAUCGUGCUAUCUGACAAAUCAGCAUCACUUGACCUGGAUCCUCCUGCAUCACAAAUCAAAGCCCUUUUUAUGCGUCAAUUAUCACAAGGUAAGUUUAAAGUUCGCUGAAACAUGAGCUCAAUAUGUAAUUACAGCACAAUUGUUCAAAAUGAAAAUUAAUCAGUACCACAAACUUGGUACAGUUAAAAUAAAAGAAAAGGAAAAAAGUUAAAAUUAAUUAAAAAAAAAUGAAAAGAAAAGAGAGGUAACAUUUCAACUACAACACCAGAACAUCAUAUAACACAACUAAAUGACUGCAACAUCUAAUCUUGAGUGUGAGUUUAGAGUUAAGACGUAUGCAUGGCAUAAAUAGGACACAAGGAAAAAUAUUAGCACUGCAUAACAGCAUAAGUUUAGAUCUUAAGAUAAAAGGAAAGAAAAAGAUCUAAUAGUGGGAGAGGGGAAAUAGAAGAAAACACAGUAAAACUUAGGCCAUCAGAUGAGAUAUAUCAUCAAUCAAUUUCACUCGAAAACUAUUUUUUCUCUUCGAUUAUCCCUAAAUGGCAUGAAAUUACAUUUUUGAAAUGAAAAUUUUUCCACAAAACAAAACAAACCCUACAACAUAUGAAAAUGGAUAUUAAAAACAAAGUCAACAAA